AUUGAACGCUGGCGGCAGGCCUAACACAUGCAAGUCGAGCGGAUGAAGGGAGCUUGCUCCUGGAUUCAGCGGCGGACGGGUGAGUAAUGCCUAGGAAUCUGCCUGGUAGUGGGGGAUAACGUCCGGAAACGGGCGCUAAUACCGCAUACGUCCUGAGGGAGAAAGUGGGGGAUCUUCGGACCUCACGCUAUCAGAUGAGCCUAGGUCGGAUUAGCUAGUUGGUGGGGUAAAGGCCUACCAAGGCGACGAUCCGUAACUGGUCUGAGAGGAUGAUCAGUCACACUGGAACUGAGACACAGUCCAGACUCCUGCGGGAGGCAGCAGUGGGGAAUAUUGGACAAGGGGGGAAAGCCUGAUCCAGCCAUGCCGCGUGUGUGAAGAAGGUCUUCGGAUUGUAAAGCACUUUAAGUUGGGAGGAAGGGCAGUAAGUUAAUACCUUGCUGUUUUGACGUUACCAACAGAAUAAGCACCGGCUAACUUCGUG
This 484-nucleotide ribosomal RNA is filed under the name uncultured bacterium. RNAcentral's name for it is "partial 16S ribosomal RNA". It matches the Rfam family "Bacterial small subunit ribosomal RNA", at positions 30 to 507 of the family's 1533-position model. The record is from RNAcentral.